UUACGGACAGUGCCUGGUGGGUAGUUUGACUGGGGCGGUCUCCUCCCAAAGAGUAACGGAGGAGCACGAAGGUGGGCUAAUCACGGUCGGACAUCGUGAGGUUAGUGCAAUGGCAUAAGCCCGCUUGACUGCGAGAAUGACAAUUCGAGCAGGUGCGAAAGCAGGUCAUAGUGAUCCGGUGGUUCUGAAUGGAAGGGCCAUCGCUCAACGGAUAAAAGGUACUCCGGGGAUAACAGGCUGAUACCGCCCAAGAGUUCAUAUCGACGGCGGUGUUUGGCACCUCGAUGUCGGCUCAUCACAUCCUGGGGCUGAAGUCGGUCCCAAGGGUAUGGCUGUUCGCCAUUUAAAGUGGUACGCGAGCUGGGUUUAGAACGUCGUGAGACAGUUCGGUCCCUAUCUGCCGUGGGCGUUGGAUGAUUGAGAGGGGCUGCUCCUAGUACGAGAGGACCGGAGUGGACGAACCGCUGGUGUUCGGGUUGUAUCGCCAGAUGCAUUGCCCGGUAGCUAAGUUCGGAAUCGAUAACCGCUGAAAGCAUCUAAGCGGGAAGCGAGCCUCAAGAUGAGUCAUCCCUAGACCUUUAAGGUCUCUAAAGGGUUGUUGAAGACUACAACGUUGAUAGGU
This 622-nucleotide ribosomal RNA is filed under the name Photobacterium kishitanii. Its description in RNAcentral is "bacterial LSU rRNA". It matches the Rfam family "Bacterial large subunit ribosomal RNA", at positions 2245 to 2861 of the family's 2925-position model. The record is from RNAcentral. Lineage: Bacteria; Pseudomonadati; Pseudomonadota; Gammaproteobacteria; Vibrionales; Vibrionaceae.